This 372-nucleotide ribosomal RNA is filed under the name uncultured organism. Its description in RNAcentral is "bacterial SSU rRNA". It matches the Rfam family "Bacterial small subunit ribosomal RNA", at positions 526 to 896 of the family's 1533-position model. The record is from RNAcentral.
CGGAGGGUGCAAGCGUUGUUCGGAAUUACUGGGCGUAAAGCGCGGGCAGGUGGCCUUUUAAGUCCUUUGUGAAAUUCCGGAGCUCAACUCCGGAUGUGCAUAGGAUACUGGAUGGCUUGAGACUGGUAGAGGCGAGCGGAAUUCCUGGUGUAGCGGUGGAAUGCGUAGAUAUCAGGAAGAACACCGGUGGCGAAGGCGGCUCGCUGGGCCAGUUCUGACACUCAUCCGCGAAAGCGUGGGGAGCAAACAGGAUUAGAUACCCUGGUAGUCCACGCUGUAAACGAUGGGCACUAGAUGCCGGGCCUAUAGACGGGUUCGGUGUCGCAGCUAACGCAUUAAGUGCCCCGCCUGGGGAGUACGGCCGCAAGGCUG